RNAcentral lists this unclassified non-coding RNA (214 nucleotides) under uncultured Cortinarius. Its description in RNAcentral is "sequence contains ITS2". The record is from RNAcentral. Lineage: Eukaryota; Fungi; Basidiomycota; Agaricomycetes; Agaricales; Cortinariaceae.
AUAUAUAUCAACCUCUUCAGCUUUUUGCAUGUUGAGUUGUUGGAUGUGGGGGUUAUUUUUUGCUGGACUUCUUGAGAAAUCUGAGUUCAGCUCCCCUAAAAUACAUUAGCGAAACAAUUUGUUUACUGCUCAUUGGUGUGAUAACUAUCUACGCUAUUGACAGGGGGCAUGUUUAGCUUCUAACAGUCCAUUUAACUUGGACAAUUUCUUAUUA